GCACACAAAGACACUUGCUGACAAACGUGUAUGUUGUUGUUAUUUCUGCAGUUGCAUGUAGCAACAAAUUGAAGCAAACUUUUGCUUGUAUGAAUGAAAUUUGCGUUUUUGUUUAUUUUAGUGCUGUUCGUGCUUACGGCAGUUAUUCGACUUCUAUGCUACACACGGCUGUACUUGACUCACGAAAUGCUGCGAACGAACUAAAAGCUGGGCAAGGACGACAUACGAUUUAAAAACUCAUGAAUAGCUUGCAAAGGACGCACAACUGCUAUGAUUAAGCAGGAAGCGAAGAAGGCUUUCAGCCGAUGUUUUUGUAGCGAAAACUGCGACGUAAUUGUGGAUAGUGUCAGUCAGCAGUGAGGAGAGAGGUUAUAUUAGUGAGAACACCAAGCAUUAAGUGAGGGAACUAAGUAAGAGAGAGAGAGAGAGAGAGCAUGUACGUUUAUCAGAGCAAAUGCACUUUGAAGUGUGUGGCUGAGUAAGAACUGAAGUAAAGGAUGUCAAACCGCAUGGGGAAUGUGGCUAUAAAAUAUUGCAGUUAAAGUUAAAGUAUAUUUCAAGGAAAAAUGCAUAUAAAUGCAAUAGUUGUUUUUAAUGUACACAUAAAUGUUUUAAAACAACCAGGGUCACAGGACGUAUGAGUAACAAAUAAUUAAUGUGCAGCCGCAUACGCCCUGGGCCACAUAUGCUUGACAAAAAAUAAAUAAAAAAUGCAAAUGCAAUGCAAGUGAGCCUGGAGCGGCGCGGCGUGGAUGCAAAAAGUGCAAUGCAGUGGGCGAACUUGAAUGAGAAAUUAAUAGCAAGCUGGGUGUGCGUGGGCGUAAUAACAAAUGCAAAGGCAUAGCCAUACAUGCGAGCGAGUCCUGUAUGUUCCUGUGAACGAGGCGUCCUUUGCCAAGCAAUUACACUUAACUUUUUAUAGGUGUGCUACGCUGCUGCGCAUACGAUGGAAAGAAACA
This is a long non-coding RNA of Rhagoletis pomonella (apple maggot), 959 nucleotides long. RefSeq lists it as uncharacterized. The transcript has 2 exons. The record is from RefSeq and is a predicted model, not a curated record. Lineage: Eukaryota; Metazoa; Arthropoda; Insecta; Diptera; Tephritidae.